RNAcentral lists this ribosomal RNA (460 nucleotides) under uncultured bacterium. RNAcentral's name for it is "partial 16S ribosomal RNA". It matches the Rfam family "Bacterial small subunit ribosomal RNA", at positions 338 to 795 of the family's 1533-position model. The record is from RNAcentral.
CCUACGGGAGGCAGCAGUGAGGAAUAUUGGUCAAUGGACGAGAGUCUGAACCAGCCAAGUAGCGUGAAGGAUGACUGCCCUAUGGGUUGUAAACUUCUUUUAUAAAGGAAUAAAACGAGGCACGUGUGCCUUUUUGCAUGUACUUUAUGAAUAAGGAUCGGCUAACUCCGUGCCAGCAGCCGCGGUAAUACGGAGGAUCCGAGCGUUAUCCGGAUUUAUUGGGUUUAAAGGGAGCGUAGAUGGGUUGUUAAGUCAGUUGUGAAAGUUUGCGGCUCAACCGUAAAAUUGCGAGUGAUACUGGCAGUCUUGAGUACAGUUGAGGUAAGCGGAAUUCGUGGUGUAGCGGUGGAAUGCUUAGAUAUCACGAAGAACCCCGAUUGCGAAGGCAGCUUACUAAACUGUGACUGACAUUGAUGCUCGAAAGUGUGGGUAUCAAACAGGAUUAGAUACCCGUGUAGUC